This 121-nucleotide small nucleolar RNA is filed under the name Jatropha curcas. The record is from RNAcentral. Lineage: Eukaryota; Viridiplantae; Streptophyta; Magnoliopsida; Malpighiales; Euphorbiaceae.
GAGCAAGAGCGUCGAUAAUGGCGAAAUUUGCAUUGAAGGUUGGCGAUAACAUAGCAAUUCUCCGUGCCUAUCAAAUCUUUCAAUUUCGUUUUGAUUAUGGCCUCGAACAAGUUGCUACAUU